This 500-nucleotide ribosomal RNA is filed under the name uncultured Glomus. Its description in RNAcentral is "SSU rRNA". It matches the Rfam family "Eukaryotic small subunit ribosomal RNA", at positions 591 to 1092 of the family's 1831-position model. Lineage: Eukaryota; Fungi; Glomeromycota; Glomeromycetes; Glomerales; Glomeraceae. The record is from RNAcentral.
CCAAUAGCGUAUAUUAAAGUUGUUGCAGUUAAAAAGCUCGUAGUUGAAUUUCGGGGUCAAUAAGUUGGUCGUGCCAAUGGUAUGUACUGGCUUUAUUGAUUCCUACCUCUUGACGAACUGUGAUGCCAUUAAUUUGGUGUUGCAGGAAAUCAGGACUGUUACCUUGAAAAAAUUAGAGUGUUUAAAGCAGGCUUACGCUUGAAUACAUUAGCAUGGAAUAAUGAAAUAGGACGUUUGAACCUAUUUUGUUGGUUUCUAGGAUCGACGUAAUGAUUAAUAGGGAUAGUUGGGGGCAUUAGUAUUCAAUGUUCAGAGGUGAAAUUCUUGGAUUUAUUGAAGACUAACUACUGCGAAAGCAUUUGCCAAGGAUGUUUUCAUUAAUCAAGAACGAAAGUUAGGGGAUCGAAGACGAUCAGAUACCGUCGUAGUCUUAACCAUAAACUAUGCCGACUAGGGAUCGGAUGAUGUUAAUUUUUUAAUGACUCAUUCGGCGCCUUACG